AAAUCACCCAUUUGAUGAUCCA
This 22-nucleotide small nuclear RNA is filed under the name Arabidopsis thaliana (thale cress). Its description in RNAcentral is "snRNA_07504". Lineage: Eukaryota; Viridiplantae; Streptophyta; Magnoliopsida; Brassicales; Brassicaceae. The record is from RNAcentral.